RNAcentral lists this ribosomal RNA (947 nucleotides) under uncultured archaeon. Its description in RNAcentral is "bacterial SSU rRNA". It matches the Rfam family "Archaeal small subunit ribosomal RNA", at positions 1 to 923 of the family's 1478-position model. The record is from RNAcentral.
UUUUCCGGUUGAUCCUGCCGGACCCUACUGCUAUCGGGGUGGGACUAAGACAUGCAAGUCGUGCGUCUCUAAGCCAUGGUAGAGACGCGGCGUACGGCUCAGUAACACGUGGCUAACCUACCCUUAGGACGGAGGCAACCCCGGGAAACUGGGGCUAAUACCCGAUAGGUGAGGAGGCCUGGAAUGGUUCUUCGCUGAAAAGGCGUUGGAACCAUGCUUUUCAACGUCGCCUAAGGAUGGGGCCGCGCCCGAUCAGGUUGUUGGUGGGGUAACGGCUCACCAAGCCUAUAACCGGUACGGGCCGCGAGAGCGGGAGCCCGGAGAUGGGCACUGAGACAAGGGCCCAGGCCCUACGGGGCGCAGCAGUCGCGAAAACUCCGCAAUGCGCGAAAGCGUGACGGGGCUACCCCGAGUGCCGUCCGCUGAGGAUGGCUUUUCCCCGGUGUAAUGAGCCGGGGGAAUAAGGAGAGGGCAAGUCUGGUGUCAGCCGCCGCGGUAAUACCAGCUCUCCGAGUAGUAGGGAUGAUUAUUGGGCUUAAAGCGUCCGUAGCCGGCUUAGCAAGUCUCCUGUUAAAUUCAGCGACCUAAUCGUUGAGCCGCGGGAGAUACUACUAGGCUAGGAGGCGGGAGAGGCCGACGGUAUUCCCGGGGUAGGGGUGAAAUCCUAUAAUCCCGGGAGGACCACCAGUGGCGAAGGCUGUCGGCUAGAACGCGCUCGACGGUGAGGGACGAAAGCUGGGGGAGCGAACCGGAUUAGAUACCCGGGUAGUCCCAGCUGUAAACGAUGCGGGCUAGGUGUUGAGGUGGCUACGAGCCACUUCAGUGCCGCAGGGAAGCCAUUAAGCCCGCCGCCUGGGGAGUACGGCCGCAAGGCUGAAACUUAAAGGAAUUGGCGGGGGAGCACCACAAGGCGUGAAGCUUGCGGUUCAAUUGGAGUAACGCCGGGA